AACCGCCGUAUACGGAACCGUACGUACGGUGGUGUGAGAGGACGACGGGAGUGAUCCCGUCUCCUACUCGAU
Molecule: non-coding RNA, 72 nt
Organism: Providencia burhodogranariea DSM 19968
Lineage: Bacteria; Pseudomonadati; Pseudomonadota; Gammaproteobacteria; Enterobacterales; Morganellaceae
Source: Rfam